AAAGAAAAAGGAAAAAAAAAGGCUAAGUGGGAAGACAAAGGAAUCGAGAGUCGGCGGCCUUGUCUUCGCCGACCAAUCAUCACCUCCCUUUCUUUCUUCUUCUUCUUCGUCUUCCAUCGCGCUCUCACACUCUCACCAAACACUGCCUUCUGUUUCUCUUCUUUGUUUUCUUUAACUUUUUGGUUCGUUUAGAUCCAUUGCCGAGGCGUCUUCCGGGUGCUUUUUUCAACAAUUCGGAAGAUUGCCUUAUCCCGACGGAAUUUCCUUUUGUGUUUGGUUUAGAUUUGAGGUUUUUCUUGCCCUUCCGUGUAAUUCUUAUCCAGUUCCGUGAAGUUUCGAGCUCGUUGCGCUUUUAUUAUGAGGGCAGCUGUUGAGCAAUCCACUUCCGAGAGGAACGAAGAUGGGGAGAAGGAGAAGAGAAAGAAGCGUCGAUCCAAUCGCCGAUCUAAGCAGACCCAGACCGCCUCUAUUACCACGGCUGUGUCUUGCAGUUCAGUCAAUGAAAUACCGGGAGAAACGUCAGAGUGCAUGGAAAAUGGUAGAAUAGAUGCCAACUUAACAGCACCCACAAAUUAUUCUUCUUUGACGGAACCAGCGUAUCGAUCAAAUAAUCCAACAGAGCAUGGUUUGACCAGAACAAAUAAGAUUGCGUUUAGUUCUUUGCCCCCUUUGCACAUUAGCGAACAAGCAAAAUUUUCUGAGUCGCAAAAUUUGAUAAAUCAGCAUUUUCAUUCAUCGAAUGCUGGUGGAAGGAUUAUAAAAUCAUGUCCUCAAGAGAUUGCCAGUGGAAGGGUGCCUGGGAUAUCUGCGAACCAGAAUUCACUUCCUGCCCAUGUGACUGAAAAUAACUCGCAAAGGAAAUAUUUUACUUCACACUGGUCGAUGGAUGAUGUUAAUGAAGGAUUACAGAAAGGUGACAUAUUUAUAGCAUUAUUUCGUGUUAAUGCUCACAAUGGACUUGAGGCCUACUGCAAAAUUGAUGGACUACCAGUUGAUGUCUUAAUCAAUGGAAUUGCAUCUCAGAAUAGAGCUGUGGAAGGUGACACAGUUGCAAUUAAGGUGGAUCCUUUUACGUCAUGGACUAGGAUGAAAGGUGCCAGUGAGGCUCAUAACAACAUGCAUUCAAUGGAAGAUGCCAACAUACAUGCUGAGGAGAAUGGAAAGGAUGGUCAUAACUGUGAAGAAAAGAAUAAAGUUGACGUCGUUAAGUCUAACAAUUUUAGGAGUUCCUCAUUACCUGAUAAGAGGUGUUGUAGUGAGGAAAAUAAAGUUUUGGAUGGAACUGCUUGUGAUGUUCUUUUAUCAAAUUACGAGCAAUCUGACGUAUACCAGUCAUUGGUUUUGGAUUCUUCACAGGCUCAUUAUUCUUGCAAUCAAGAUGAUGUCUCUAAAGCCAUAGGGAAGAUCUGUGCAGUGAUUAAUUUACAUCCAUCAAAAAGACCAACUGGCAGGGUAGUAGCCAUCCUAGAAAACUCUCUACAACGAGAAUCUAUUGUUGGCCAUCUUAUUGUCAAGAAGUUCCUCUCCUUCCAGGAGAUUUAUAUGAAAGAGAUGAAUACAAAAUCAUGUUUACCGUCAUCGCCUAAUCAUGGAUAUGUCCAGUUGAUGCCUAAUGAUGCAAGAUUCCCGAUGAUGAUGGUUCUUACAGAAGAUUUACCUGACCACAUUAAGAAGAGAUUGGACAAUGGUGAUGUAACAGUUGAGAGUGAGCUUGUCGCUGCACGAAUUCAUGAAUGGGUUCAAGAGAGUUCAGCUCCACGAGCACAUGUCUUGCAUGUUCUAGGACAAGGGAGUGAAGUAGAAUCGCAUGUUGAUGCUAUUUUAUUUCAAAAUGCAAUUCGUACGUGUGAAUUCUCUCAUGAUUCACUGUCUUGCCUCCCUCAUACCCCUUGGAAGAUCCCGCCAGAUGAACUUCAAUGCAGAAGAGAUCUUAGAAAUUUAUGCAUAUUUACUAUUGAUCCUUCCACUGCCUCUGAUCUUGAUGACGCUCUUUCUGUUGAAAAAUUAGCCAAUGGCAUCUUCAGAGUAGGUAUUCAUAUUGCUGAUGUAUCACAUUUUGUAUUGCCAGAAACUGCCUUAGAUAAGGAGGCUCAAAUCCGAUCAACAUGUUUUUAUCUUCUGCAACGCAAGAUACCAAUGUUGCCACCGUUACUCUCUGAGAAUAUUGGUUCACUUAACCCUGGAGUGGAUAGACUUGCGUUUUCAUUGUUUUUGGACAUAAACCAUUGUGGAGAUGUUAAAAAUUGUUGGAUUGGUCGUACUGUGAUAUGCUCUUGUUGCAAACUUUCAUAUGAGCAUGCUCAAGACAUCAUUGAUGGAUUACUUGAUUCUGAUUGUUCAAAGAUUUCAAGAAAUCAUUGCCCCCAUUUGCACGGCCAAUUUGCAUGGCCUGAUGUCAUUUCAUCUGUUAAAAUUCUUCAUGAAAUUUCGAAAACUCUAAAGGAGAAGAGAUUUAGAGAUGGGGCCUUGCGGCUUGACAAUUCUAAAAGAGUUUACUUAUAUGAUGAAUAUGGAAUUCCGUAUGAUAGUAAGUUUUAUGAACAUAAGGAUUCAAAUUUUCUUGUCGAGGAGUUCAUGCUUUUGGCAAAUACUACUGUUGCUGAAGUUGUAUCCAGAACUUUUCCGGACAGUGCAUUAUUGAGAAGGCAUCCUGAACCUGUAAUGAGGAAACUCAGAGAAUUUGAAUCAUUUUGUUCUAAGCAUGGUUUUGAACUCGACACAUCCUCUUCAGUGCAGUUUCAACAGUCAUUGGAGCAGAUAAGGAAAAAACUUCAUGAUGAUCCUUUACUGUUCGAUAUUCUCAUAUCCUAUGCUACAAGGCCAAUGCAAUUAGCAACUUAUUUCUGUAGUGGAGAGUUAAAAGAUGGUGAAAAUGGGAGUCACUACGCACUGGCUGUCCCCCUAUACACACAUUUCACUUCACCAUUGCGACGGUAUCCUGAUAUUGUUGUCCAUCGCACGCUUGCAGCAGCUAUUGAGGCCGAGGAGUUGUAUUUGAAGCAUCAAGGAAUCAUACAGAAAGUUAAUGGUGAUGAACAGAUGAGAUGUUUUACUGGCAUUCAUUUUGACAAAGAUGCUGCUGACUCCUUAGAAGGUAGAGAAGCAUUAUCGGCUGCUGCACUGAAGCAUGGAGUUCCAUGCACUAAAUUACUUUCAGAUGUUGCUCUGCACUGCAAUAAUAGAAAAUUGGCUAGUAAGCAUGUCGCGGAUGCAUGUGAUAAGCUCUACAUGUGGGCUCUUUUGAAGAAAAARGAGAUUUUGUUAUCAGAUGCGAGGGUACUGGGCCUUGGUCCAAGAUUUAUGUCUCUUUAUAUUCAGAAGCUGGCUAUUGAGCGGAGAAUAUACUACGACGAAGUUGAAGGUUUGGCAGUUGAAUGGCUUGAUGCUUCAUCGACAUUGGUGCUUAGUUUUUUUGGUACUAGGCGCUCGUUUAAGAGUAGAGGUUCAAGUAAGUGGAAGGCAUUGGAAGAAGUUGCACUAGUUAUUUCUCCUUGCGACCUGAAUGUUCAAGAGAGGAUUCUUGGAGGGAGUCCUAGUGAGUCGGGUGGAGYAAGUACUACAGAGGGUGCUACUGUUGAACAAGAGUCCAAUUUGAAAUCUCAUACUUCAGAUACUGGAAUUGUCCCUGCAGUUUUCCCCCUCACAGUACGACUCUUUUCGACCAUACCUGUAGCACUUCAUGCCAUUGGUGGGGAUGAUGGACCCAUCGACAUCGGUGUUAGGCUAUACAUGAGCUCAUAUUUAAGGUAAACCAUGGUGUUCGAUGUGGCAAACCAAACCAUUUGUGUUGCCAUUCCACUGCUCCUUCAGAACAUGAUAACGGCACAGACAGUUUUUUUCUUUCUUUUUGAUUUCUGGAAUUGCCCUGCUCUGUUGUAGAUAAGAAGAUCAGUGCAAGGCAAUAGUGUUUAGGUAUAAAGGAGGAAGGURUGUUGGUGUAAUAUCUGCUGAAGCUUCAUUAAGUAGGGAGACAGAACAUGAUCUGGUGGAGAGUGUAGAUAAAGGAGGGAACAAAAGAAAAAGGGUACUAUGUGUGGCUUCAGCACUAAUUGCUUUUUAGUUGUGUAGGGAAAAAAACAAAAUGGGAAGCUGGUUUUCUGGAGAAGGCCAUUGUUUUUUGUCGGCCAGUUCCAUUCACCGUACAACUUUUUUCUCCAUCCACCCAUCAACAAAUCCAGCUUCAGACAUAUGUUCUUUAUUUGCAGCCCAAUCAAGUUUUUUUUUUUGGUUGUUGGGCGGCUCCAACUAGGUUGUAUUUGAUACCACUUUUUCGCUACUUUUUUCUGUUAUUUGAAAACCUUCAGAGAAUGGUUUGCAGCUGCUGUUUGAAACACAGAAAUGGGCCCAGCGAUGAAUAGGUGAGAAGGCCCAAAUCCAAGAGAUGGUUCAGUCGGGGGCUCCGCUCUCUCUCUC
Molecule: non-coding RNA, 4413 nt
Organism: Momordica charantia (bitter melon)
Lineage: Eukaryota; Viridiplantae; Streptophyta; Magnoliopsida; Cucurbitales; Cucurbitaceae
Source: RefSeq, a predicted model, not a curated record